UGCUUGAAUCAUCGGAUACCAUU
This 23-nucleotide unclassified non-coding RNA is filed under the name Dictyostelium discoideum. Lineage: Eukaryota; Evosea; Eumycetozoa; Dictyosteliales; Dictyosteliaceae. The record is from RNAcentral.